This 63-nucleotide transfer RNA is filed under the name Erinaceus europaeus (western European hedgehog). It matches the Rfam family "tRNA". From Rfam's summary of the family: Transfer RNA (tRNA) molecules are approximately 80 nucleotides in length. Their secondary structure includes four short double-helical elements and three loops (D, anti-codon, and T loops). The record is from Rfam by way of RNAcentral. Lineage: Eukaryota; Metazoa; Chordata; Mammalia; Eulipotyphla; Erinaceidae.
GGGGAUGUAGCUCAAUGGUAGAGCACAUGGUUCACAUUUAUGAUGCCCCCAGUUUGAUCCCCA